This 512-nucleotide ribosomal RNA is filed under the name uncultured bacterium. Its description in RNAcentral is "partial 16S ribosomal RNA". It matches the Rfam family "Bacterial small subunit ribosomal RNA", at positions 28 to 507 of the family's 1533-position model. The record is from RNAcentral.
GAUGAACGCUGGCGGCGUGCCUAAUACAUGCAAGUCGAACGAAACUUCUUUAUCACCGAGUGCUUGCACUCACCGAUAAAGAGUUGAGUGGCGAACGGGUGAGUAACACGUGGGCAACCUGCCCAAAAGAGGGGGAUAGCACUUGGAAACAGGUGCUAAUACCGCAUAACCAUAGUUACCGCAUGGUAACUAUGUAAAAGGUGGCUAUACUACCGCUUUUGGAUGGGCCCGCGGCGCAUUAGCUAGUUGGUAGGGUAAAGGCUUACCAAGGCAAUGAUGCGUAGCCGAAUUGAGAGGUUGAUCGGCCACAUUGGGACUGAGACACGGCCCAAACUCCUACGGGAGGCAGCAGUAGGGAAUCUUCCACAAUGGGCGAAAGCCUGAUGGAGCAACGCCGCGUGGGUGAAGAAGGUCUUCGGAUCGUAAAACCCUGUUGUUAGAGAAGAAAGUGCGUGAGAGUAACUGUUCACGUUUCGACGGUAUCUAACCGGAAAGCCACGGCUAACUACGUG